GGGAAGGUUGCUCAGUGGUAGAGCACUUGCCUUGCAUGCAUGAGGCCCUGGGUUCAAUUCUUUACUACCACA
RNAcentral lists this transfer RNA (72 nucleotides) under Dipodomys ordii (Ord's kangaroo rat). It matches the Rfam family "tRNA". From Rfam's summary of the family: Transfer RNA (tRNA) molecules are approximately 80 nucleotides in length. Their secondary structure includes four short double-helical elements and three loops (D, anti-codon, and T loops). Further hydrogen bonds mediate the characteristic L-shaped molecular structure. tRNAs have two regions of fundamental functional importance: the anti-codon, which is responsible for specific mRNA codon recognition, and the 3' end, to which the tRNAs corresponding amino acid is attached (by aminoacyl-tRNA synthetases). tRNAs cope with the degeneracy of the genetic code in two manners: having more than one tRNA (with a specific anti-codon) for a particular amino acid; and 'wobble' base-pairing, i.e. permitting non-standard base-pairing at the 3rd anti-codon position. The record is from Rfam by way of RNAcentral. Lineage: Eukaryota; Metazoa; Chordata; Mammalia; Rodentia; Heteromyidae.